RNAcentral lists this ribosomal RNA (515 nucleotides) under uncultured bacterium. RNAcentral describes it as "partial 16S ribosomal RNA". It matches the Rfam family "Bacterial small subunit ribosomal RNA", at positions 28 to 523 of the family's 1533-position model. The record is from RNAcentral.
GAUGAACGCUGGCGGCGUGCCUAAUACAUGCAAGUCGAGCGAAUGGAUUAAGAGCUUGCUCUUAUGAAGUUAGCGGCGGACGGGUGAGUAACACGUGGGUAACCUGCCCAUAAGACUGGGAUAACUCCGGGAAACCGGGGCUAAUACCGGAUAAUAUUUUGAACUGCAUGGUUCAAAAUUGAAAGGCGGCUUCGGCUGUCACUUAUGGAUGGACCCGCGUCGCAUUAGCUAGUUGGUGGGGUAACGGCUCACCAAGGCAACGAUGCGUAGCCAACCUGAGAGGGUGAUCGGCCACACUGGGACUGAGACACGGCCCAGACUCCUACGGGAGGCAGCAGUAGGGAAUCUUCCGCAAUGGACGAAAGUCUGACGGAGCAACGUCGCGUGAGUGAUGAAGGCUUUCGGGUCGUAAAACUCUGUUGUUAGGGAAGAACAAGUGCUAGUUGAAUAAGCUGGCACCUUGACGGUACCUAACCAGAAAGCCACGGCUAACUACGUGCCAGCCGCCGCGGUAA